Molecule: RNA transcript, 3496 nt
Organism: Trichosurus vulpecula (common brushtail)
Lineage: Eukaryota; Metazoa; Chordata; Mammalia; Diprotodontia; Phalangeridae
Gene name: zinc finger protein 497-like
Exons: 3
Source: RefSeq, a predicted model, not a curated record
CAGAAUUAUCCCAAGCACUGGGAAUAUUAAAAAUGAAACAAUUUUGGAUACACACAUGCAUACAUUAAUACAUUAUGUAUAUUCAUUCACAUUAUAAGGUGAAAACGCCAUCAUAUGAUUAAAUCAAUAUUAACAAGGACAAAGAACAUACAUUAAGCACAUUUAAAAUAUCUGAGGCGAUAAAUGGUAGCUGAUAGGGUUAAAAAGGUUUUUUAAAAUAGAUCCCAGUUUCUCCUACAACGAAUUUUCCUGGGAGAGGAGUUAGGCAGUGUAUGACACACACAGAUAAGUAUAAUCCAAGGAAUGGGGUGAUAGGGAAAGGGAGAAAUUCAGAGUGAGCUGGAUCUUAAUCAAUGAAAAAAACCAUUAUUGAAUACUUCCUGUGUGCUGGGUAAUGUGCCGAGUACUAGAAAUAGAAGGGUAAAAGUGAAUAUAGUCCCCGGCAUUAAAAAUCUUACAUUCUAAUGAGGAAGGCAACACGUACAUACAUACAUGCACACACAUGCAUACAUAUAUGACACACCAAAUUUAUAUAACAAGGAAACCACAGAAGGGGAGGCCCUAGCAUUUGGAGGGAUCGGGAAGAUUAUCCAGUAUAAGGUGAUAGGAGCUGAACUUUGGAGGAAAGCAGAUGUUUUAAGAGGAAGAAAUGAGGAGAGUGUCCCGGCAAAGCACCAGGAUGAAAGAGCAUUCUCUGUGAGAAAUUGCGGGUAUCCAGCCAUUGAGCAAUCAAGAGUGAGGGUGAUAGAGAAGACUAGGAAAGCAGGAAGAGGACGAGUGAUGAGCAGUUCUAAGUCUGUAGAUGUAACUCUGGUUUUGCUUUAUCUUUGUGUCUACUUACCUCAGACUUUCGUUUUAAUAGAGAAUGUGCUUUUUUUAUGUAUGUUUGUCAAAGAGGUUGAUUUGUUUCUGGUGUCUCUUUGUUGUCCUCCACCCUAAUAAUAAAAAUAAAUAAUAUCAGCGUCAUUAACAAUACAUGUAAAAUGUGUCAUUUGGGGAGACAGUUUGUACUCUUGAUUUUGCCUGCACUUAAAUCCAUUAUCAUCUCUACUAAGUUGGACUUCGUGUGCCUUUAAAGGAGACAAACCACUUGAUACACAUGAAUGAAAUCAGCCAGUACGGUUCCAACAGCACACAAACUAAAUUGACUCUUCAUUUCGUAGAAUCUUUGUUUAAUGAUAUCAGAAUAUCAUAUGGACUCAAUAAAUAUGCCAAAGAAAGUUAGAAACUGAAGACGUCCAGUUGGAAUUCAGAGAUGCCAGUGAGACAAUGAAUCAAGGUCAGAGCUACAAGUGCCUUGUUCUCUUUCUGGUAAGACAUGAUUAAUAUGAAGAAGACAGUAGGUAAAUGCAUCAAGAGACUCACUAGCCUACUGAAGCCAAAGCUGAAUGUGGAGAACACAGAUUGUGGAACCAAGGCCAAGGAGCAGAAAUGGGCUCCCAAACAGGAAAUAUCUGAAGAAGGAGAAUCACAAGGGGUGACAUUGGAAGCUUCCCAAGGACUGGAAUAUGGAGAAGCCUGGGAUUGUAUGGGCAGAUCAGAGAGGUGGCUGGGGAUCUUCACAGAAGAGAAGCUGAAGAAAUCCUCUUCUUUGGAAACAGAUUUCAGAGAGAGUUCUACAGUAGACCAGAAACCUCCUCCUGAGAAAAUAGAGGAGGCAUGUGCCAAACUUGGGCAGAAUGUCAAUAUGGACCCAAAUGUAGUUCCACAGAAGAGAAUUCCCACAGGAGCCAGAUCCCAUAUAUGUGACCUAUGCAAUCAGAGCUUUAAGCUCAGUGAAGAACUAAUGACCCAUCAGAAAAUCCAUGAGGGAGAGAAACCCUGUAAAUGUGAUGAAUGUGGGAAAGUGUUCAGCCAAAGCUCCUACCUCCUUCAACACCAGAGAGUUCACACUGGAGAGAAACCCUAUCAAUGCAAUGAGUGUGGAAAAGCAUUUGCUUGGAGCUCAAACCUUAUUCAACAUCAGAGAAUUCACACUGGAGAAAAACCAUAUGAAUGUAAUGAGUGUGGGAAGUCCUUUAGGGCACAUUCACAGCUUAUUCAUCAUCAAAAAAUUCACACUGGGGAGAAGCCCUAUCAGUGUAAUGAAUGUGGGAAAUCGUUUGGUAGGAGCACAACUCUUAUUCAACACCAGAGAAUUCACACUGGAGAGAAGCCCUAUCAAUGUAAUGAAUGUGGGAAAGCCUUUAACUGGAACUCAAACUUUAUUGAACACCAGAGAAUUCACACUGGAGAAAGACCUCACGAAUGUAACGAAUGUGGGAAGGCCUUCAGCCAGAGCUCAAACCUAAUUGAACACCUGAAAAUUCACACAGGAGAAAAGCCCCAUGAAUGCAAUCAGUGUGGGAAAUCCUUCAUGAGGAGCUCAGGCCUUAGACAACAUCAGAGAAUUCAUACAGGAGAGAAACCUUAUCUGUGUAACGAGUGUGGGAAGACCUUCAGGGAGAGCUCACAACUCAUUCAGCACCAGAGAAUCCAUACUGGAGAGAGACCCUUUGAAUGUCAUGAGUGUGGAAAAGCCUUCAUCUUGAUCUCAAAUCUUACAGAACACCAGAGAAUUCACACUGGAGAGAAACCUCAUGAAUGUAAUGAGUGUGGAAAAGCCUUUAGUCAAAGAUCAAACCUCAUCAGCCACCAGAGAAUACACACUGGAGAAAAACCCUAUGAGUGCACUGAAUGUGGGAAAACUUUCAAGGGGAGCUCUGGCCUUGCUCACCACCAGAGAAUUCACACUGGAGAGAGACCCUAUGAAUGUAAUGAAUGUGGUAAGACCUUUCGAGGGAGCUCAGAACUGAGACAGCACCAGAGACUUCAUUCUGGAGAAAAGCCUUAUGUAUGUAAUGAGUGUGGCAAAGCCUUUGUUAGAAACUCUGAGCUCAUCAGCCACCAGAGAAUUCACACUGGAGAGAGACCCUAUAAAUGUGACAUGUGUGGCAAGCCCUUCAGCCAUCGUUCCAACCUUAAUGAACACCAGAAAAGACACAUGGGGUUUAAGGUGAAGCCAUGAUCCUGAAAACUGCCUGGAAGCAUGAGUUGUGGCUGAGGACAAAGGAAGGGCUGCAGAGAGGGAGGCAGGCAGGGUUACCUCAUGGUGGUGUACAAGUGGGAAAAGCCCCAGCCCCUUGGGGGACACAAGGUAUGAGACCUCCACAAAUUCAGGAACAGUUGUAGUUCUGCUACUCCCAUGCAAGAGAAACCUGUAUAAACCUAGUUUGAAGGUGCCAGUGAAUGUCAGAUAUGGCUCUCCUUUGAUAUCAGCUGAAGGGCAGAAUGUGUGUGAAGGGGUCACUCUUUAUGCAGGGGUAGAUGAGUGGCCCCAGGUCAAUAAAGCUGUGUCUGCAUGAAACUCUGGAGCGAAUGAUUCCCUUACCUUGAGCUCCCCUCUGAAGAUCUGCACAUACAAUGGCAGCCACAGAUGUGUCUUCCACAGGUGCUUUAUAGGCAUUACACUUGAGCCCCACAUCAGCUCUGUGAAGUAGGAGCUACAGAUUUAUCC